GAAGGUGGCAAGCGUUGUUCGGAUUUACUGGGCGUACAGGGUGCGUAGGCGGUUCGGUAAGCCCUCCGUGAAAUCUCCAGGCUUAACCUGGAAAGUGCAGAGGGGACUGCCGGGCUAGAGGACGGGAGAGGAGCGCGGAAUUCCCGGUGUAGCGGUGAAAUGCGUAGAGAUCGGGAGGAAGGCCGGUGGCGAAGGCGGCGCUCUGGAACGCUUCUGACGCUGAGGCACGAAAGCGUGGGGAGCAAACAGGAUUAGAUACCCUGGUAGUCCACGCCUUAAACGAUGGAUACUAAGUGUCGGCGGGUUACCGCCGGUGCCGCAGCUAACGCAGUAAGUAUCCCGCCUGGGAAGUACGGCCGCAAGGUUG
Molecule: ribosomal RNA, 367 nt
Filed under: uncultured organism
Description: bacterial SSU rRNA
Rfam family: Bacterial small subunit ribosomal RNA
Source: RNAcentral